This 253-nucleotide ribosomal RNA is filed under the name uncultured bacterium. Its description in RNAcentral is "partial 16S ribosomal RNA". It matches the Rfam family "Bacterial small subunit ribosomal RNA", at positions 524 to 776 of the family's 1533-position model. The record is from RNAcentral.
UACGUAGGGUGCGAGCGUUGUCCGGAAUUACUGGGCGUAAAGAGCUCGUAGGUGGUUUGUCGCGUUGUUCGUGAAAACUCACAGCUUAACUGUGGGCGUGCGGGCGAUACGGGCAGACUGGAGUACUGCAGGGGAGACUGGAAUUCCUGGUGUAGCGGUGGAAUGCGCAGAUAUCAGGAGGAACACCGGUGGCGAAGGCGGGUCUCUGGGCCAUAACUGACGCUGAGGAGCGAAAGCGUGGGGAGCGAACAGG